Oryctolagus cuniculus (rabbit) is the source of this 698-nucleotide non-coding RNA. NCBI's taxonomy places the organism in Eukaryota, Metazoa, Chordata, Mammalia, Lagomorpha, Leporidae. The record is from RefSeq and is a predicted model, not a curated record.
GCUCCGUUUCCGGUUGGAGUCUUUAAAAACGAGCCGAUUAAUAUCUUGGGAGAAGUUUACCCUUCUGUAAUGCCGUCAGCCUUUGAGGGAUUUUUUAUUUACCCACCUCCCAGUUUAUGUAAAUUGUGUGCUGUCGUACCAAUUCCUCUAGCCGUCAUGUAGCGUUAGAAUAUCCCAUCAGAUAUAUGCAUAGAGGGAGACUAGCUGAAAACACGUAAAAGAAAAUACCCUUCUGUGAGUGUGAUCACGUUCUUGGGUAGAAAUCCCAACUGAGCCUUGUGCGGACAUGAUGAAAGACUGCUUCCUGGCCUUGGUGUCUCGGCUCUGUUCAUGAAGCCCGCUCAGCACAGGAACUGUGGUGUAGGUGAAGCCUCCUCCUCUGGCACCGACAUCCUCUAUGGGCACUGGUUUGAGUCCCAGCUGCUCUACUUCUGAUCCAGCUCCCUGCUAAUGCACCCGGGAAAACAGCAGAAGAUGGCCUGAUUGGGAAAACAGCAGAAGAUGGCCUGAGUUUUUGGGCCCUUGCACCCAUGUGGGAGUCCUGGAAGAUGCUUCUGGCUCCUGGCUUUGGAUUGUUCUACCCCUGGCCAUUGCAGCCAUUUGGGGAGAGAACCAGUGGAUGGAAGACCUUUCUCUCUGUCCCCCCGCUCUCUGUAACUCCUCAAAUAAAUAAAUAAAAUCUUUUUUUUUAACUUUUA